RNAcentral lists this ribosomal RNA (492 nucleotides) under uncultured bacterium. RNAcentral's name for it is "partial 16S ribosomal RNA". It matches the Rfam family "Bacterial small subunit ribosomal RNA", at positions 29 to 507 of the family's 1533-position model. The record is from RNAcentral.
AGUGAACGCUGGCGGUAGGCCUAACACAUGCAAGUCGAACGGCAGCACAGUAAGAGCUUGCUCUUACGGGUGGCGAGUGGCGGACGGGUGAGGAAUACAUCGGAAUCUACUUUUUCGUGGGGGAUAACGUAGGGAAACUUACGCUAAUACCGCAUACGACCUACGGGUGAAAGCAGGGGAUCUUCGGACCUUGCGCGACUGAAUGAGCCGAUGUCGGAUUAGCUAGUUGGCGGGGUAAAGGCCCACCAAGGCGACGAUCCGUAGCUGGUCUGAGAGGAUGAUCAGCCACACUGGAACUGAGACACGGUCCAGACUCCUACGGGAGGCAGCAGUGGGGAAUAUUGGACAAUGGGCGCAAGCCUGAUCCAGCCAUACCGCGUGGGUGAAGAAGGUCUUCGGGUUGUAAAGCCCUUUUGUUGGGAAAGAAAAGCAGCAGGUUAAUACCCCGCUGUUCUGACGGUACCCAAAGAAUAAGCACCGGCUAACUUCGUG